AGUUACUUAGCUUAUAAAAAGCAUAUAUUUUGAAAAUAUAAGAAAGAUUAAAUUUAGUAACUU
Molecule: transfer RNA, 63 nt
Filed under: Batracomorphus chlorophana
Lineage: Eukaryota; Metazoa; Arthropoda; Insecta; Hemiptera; Cicadellidae
Description: tRNA-Ser
Source: RNAcentral